AGGACGAACGCUGGCGGCGUGCUUAACACAUGCAAGUCGAGCGGAAAGGCCCUUCGGGGUACGUCGAGCGGCGAACGGGUGAGUAACACGUGAGCAACCUGCCCUUAGCUCUGGGAUAGCUCCGGGAAACCGGAAUUAAUACCGGAUACGACCUAGGCCGACAUCGGCCAUGGUGGAAAGUUUUUCGGCUAGGGAUGGACUCGCGGCCUAUCAGCUAGUUGGUGGGUAAAGGCCUACCAAGGCGACGACGGGUAG
This 255-nucleotide ribosomal RNA is filed under the name uncultured bacterium. RNAcentral describes it as "partial small subunit ribosomal RNA". It matches the Rfam family "Bacterial small subunit ribosomal RNA", at positions 26 to 286 of the family's 1533-position model. The record is from RNAcentral.